This 502-nucleotide ribosomal RNA is filed under the name uncultured bacterium. Its description in RNAcentral is "partial 16S ribosomal RNA". It matches the Rfam family "Bacterial small subunit ribosomal RNA", at positions 28 to 507 of the family's 1533-position model. The record is from RNAcentral.
GACGAACGCUGGCGGCGUGCUUAACACAUGCAAGUCGAACGGUGAAGGGGUCUGCUUUUGUGGGCCCUGGAUGAGUGGCGAACGGGUGAGUAACACGUGAGUAACCUGCCCCCUUCUUCUGGAUAACCGCAUGAAAGUGUGGCUAAUACGGGAUAUUCUGGGUCUGUCGCAUGAUGGGUCUGGGAAAGAUUGCGCCUUUGGGUGUUUUUGGUGGGGGAUGGGCUCGCGGCCUAUCAGCUUGUUGGUGGGGUGAUGGCCUACCAAGGCGGUGACGGGUAGCCGGCCUGAGAGGGUGGACGGUCACACUGGGACUGAGACACGGCCCAGACUCCUACGGGAGGCAGCAGUGGGAAAUAUUGCACAAUGGGCGCAAGCCUGAUGCAGCGACGCCGCGUGAGGGAUGGAGGCCUUCGGGUUGUAAACCUCUUUCGCCAGUGAAGCAGGCCUGCUCCUUGUGGGUGGGUUGACGGUAGCUGGAUAAGAAGCGCCGGCUAACUACGUG